GAUGAACGCUGGCGGCGUGCCUAAUACAUGCAAGUCGAGCGAACAGACGAGGAGCUUGCUCCUUUGACGUUAGCGGCGGACGGGUGAGUAACACGUAGGUAACCUACCUAUAAGACUGGGAUAACUUCGGGAAACCGGAGCUAAUACCGGAUAAUAUUUCGAACCGCAUGGUUCGAUAGUGAAAGAUGGCUUUGCUAUCACUUAUAGAUGGACCUGCGCCGUAUUAGCUAGUUGGUAAGGUAACGGCUUACCAAGGCAACGAUACGUAGCCGACCUGAGAGGGGGAUAGGCCACACGGGAACUGAGGCACGGUCCAGACUCCUACGGGAGGCAGCAGUAGGGAAUCUUCCGCAAUGGGCGAAAGCCUGACGGAGCAACGCCGCGUGAGUGAUGAAGGUCUUCGGAUCGUAAAACUCUGUUAUUAGGGAAGAACAAACGUGUAAGUAACUGUGCACGUCUUGACGGUACCUAAUCAGAAAGCCACGGCUAACUACGUG
This 497-nucleotide ribosomal RNA is filed under the name uncultured bacterium. RNAcentral describes it as "partial 16S ribosomal RNA". It matches the Rfam family "Bacterial small subunit ribosomal RNA", at positions 28 to 507 of the family's 1533-position model. The record is from RNAcentral.